GACCCCAGGUCAGGCGGGACCACCCGCUGAGUUUAAGCAUAUCA
Molecule: ribosomal RNA, 44 nt
Filed under: Gymnosiphon divaricatus
Lineage: Eukaryota; Viridiplantae; Streptophyta; Magnoliopsida; Dioscoreales; Burmanniaceae
Description: partial 26S ribosomal RNA
Source: RNAcentral